UUAAGCGACUAAGCGUACACGGUGGAUGCCCUGGCAGUCAGAGGCGAUGAAGGACGUGCUAAUCUGCGAUAAGCGUCGGUAAGGUGAUAUGAACCGUUAUAACCGGCGAUUUCCGAAUGGGGAAACCCAGUGUGUUUCGACACACUAUCAUUAACUGAAUCCAUAGGUUAAUGAGGCGAACCGGGGGAACUGAAACAUCUAAGUACCCCGAGGAAAAGAAAUCAACCGAGAUUCCCCCAGUAGCGGCGAGCGAACGGGGAGCAGCCCAGAGCCUGAAUCAGUAUGUGUGUUAGUGGAAGCGUCUGGAAAGGCGCGCGAUACAGGGUGACAGCCCCGUACACAAAAAUGCACAUAUUGUGAGCUCGAUGAGUAGGGCGGGACACGUGGUAUCCUGUCUGAAUAUGGGGGGACCAUCCUCCAAGGCUAAAUACUCCUGACUGACCGAUAGUGAACCAGUACCGUGAGGGAAAGGCGAAAAGAACCCCGGCGAGGGGAGUGAAAAAGAACCUGAAACCGUGUACGUACAAGCAGUGGGAGCACGCUUAGGCGUGUGACUGCGUACCUUUUGUAUAAUGGGUCAGCGACUUAUAUUCUGUAGCAAGGUUAACCGAAUAGGGGAGCCGAAGGGAAACCGAGUCUUAACUGGGCGUUAAGUUGCAGGGUAUAGACCCGAAACCCGGUGAUCUAGCCAUGGGCAGGUUGAAGGUUGGGUAACACUAACUGGAGGACCGAACCGACUAAUGUUGAAAAAUUAGCGGAUGACUUGUGGCUGGGGGUGAAAGGCCAAUCAAACCGGGAGAUAGCUGGUUCUCCCCGAAAGCUAUUUAGGUAGCGCCUCGUGAACUCAUCUCCGGGGGUAGAGCACUGUUUCGGCAAGGGGGUCAUCCCGACUUACCAACCCGAUGCAAACUGCGAAUACCGGAGAAUGUUAUCACGGGAGACACACGGCGGGUGCUAACGUCCGUCGUGAAGAGGGAAACAACCCAGACCGCCAGCUAAGGUCCCAAAGUCAUGGUUAAGUGGGAAACGAUGUGGGAAGGCCCAGACAGCCAGGAUGUUGGCUUAGAAGCAGCCAUCAUUUAAAGAAAGCGUAAUAGCUCACUGGUCGAGUCGGCCUGCGCGGAAGAUGUAACGGGGCUAAACCAUGCACCGAAGCUGCGGCAGCGACACUAUGUGUUGUUGGGUAGGGGAGCGUUCUGUAAGCCUGUGAAGGUGUGCUGUGAGGCAUGCUGGAGGUAUCAGAAGUGCGAAUGCUGACAUAAGUAACGAUAAAGCGGGUGAAAAGCCCGCUCGCCGGAAGACCAAGGGUUCCUGUCCAACGUUAAUCGGGGCAGGGUGAGUCGACCCCUAAGGCGAGGCCGAAAGGCGUAGUCGAUGGGAAACAGGUUAAUAUUCCUGUACUUGGUGUUACUGCGAAGGGGGGACGGAGAAGGCUAUGUUGGCCGGGCGACGGUUGUCCCGGUUUAAGCGUGUAGGCUGGUUUUCCAGGCAAAUCCGGAAAAUCAAGGCUGAGGCGUGAUGACGAGGCACUACGGUGCUGAAGCAACAAAUGCCCUGCUUCCAGGAAAAGCCUCUAAGCAUCAGGUAACAUCAAAUCGUACCCCAAACCGACACAGGUGGUCAGGUAGAGAAUACCAAGGCGCUUGAGAGAACUCGGGUGAAGGAACUAGGCAAAAUGGUGCCGUAACUUCGGGAGAAGGCACGCUGAUAUGUAGGUGAAGUCCCUCGCGGAUGGAGCUGAAAUCAGUCGAAGAUACCAGCUGGCUGCAACUGUUUAUUAAAAACACAGCACUGUGCAAACACGAAAGUGGACGUAUACGGUGUGACGCCUGCCCGGUGCCGGAAGGUUAAUUGAUGGGGUCAGCGCAAGCGAAGCUCUUGAUCGAAGCCCCGGUAAACGGCGGCCGUAACUAUAACGGUCCUAAGGUAGCGAAAUUCCUUGUCGGGUAAGUUCCGACCUGCACGAAUGGCGUAAUGAUGGCCAGGCUGUCUCCACCCGAGACUCAGUGAAAUUGAACUCGCUGUGAAGAUGCAGUGUACCCGCGGCAAGACGGAAAGACCCCGUGAACCUUUACUAUAGCUUGACACUGAACAUUGAGCCUUGAUGUGUAGGAUAGGUGGGAGGCUUUGAAGUGUGGACGCCAGUCUGCAUGGAGCCGACCUUGAAAUACCACCCUUUAAUGUUUGAUGUUCUAACGUUGACCCGUAAUCCGGGUUGCGGACAGUGUCUGGUGGGUAGUUUGACUGGGGCGGUCUCCUCCUAAAGAGUAACGGAGGAGCACGAAGGUUGGCUAAUCCUGGUCGGACAUCAGGAGGUUAGUGCAAUGGCAUAAGCCAGCUUGACUGCGAGCGUGACGGCGCGAGCAGGUGCGAAAGCAGGUCAUAGUGAUCCGGUGGUUCUGAAUGGAAGGGCCAUCGCUCAACGGAUAAAAGGUACUCCGGGGAUAACAGGCUGAUACCGCCCAAGAGUUCAUAUCGACGGCGGUGUUUGGCACCUCGAUGUCGGCUCAUCACAUCCUGGGGCUGAAGUAGGUCCCAAGGGUAUGGCUGUUCGCCAUUUAAAGUGGUACGCGAGCUGGGUUUAGAACGUCGUGAGACAGUUCGGUCCCUAUCUGCCGUGGGCGCUGGAGAACUGAGGGGGGCUGCUCCUAGUACGAGAGGACCGGAGUGGACGCAUCACUGGUGUUCGGGUUGUCAUGCCAAUGGCACUGCCCGGUAGCUAAAUGCGGAAGAGAUAAGUGCUGAAAGCAUCUAAGCACGAAACUUGCCCCGAGAUGAGUUCUCCCUGACCCUUUAAGGGUCCUGAAGGAACGUUGAAGACGACGACGUUGAUAGGCCGGGUGUGUAAGCGCAGCGAUGCGUUGAGCUAACCGGUACUAAUGAACCGUGAGGCUUAACCUU
Molecule: ribosomal RNA, 2901 nt
Filed under: Escherichia coli 1303
Lineage: Bacteria; Pseudomonadati; Pseudomonadota; Gammaproteobacteria; Enterobacterales; Enterobacteriaceae
Description: bacterial LSU rRNA
Rfam family: Bacterial large subunit ribosomal RNA
Source: RNAcentral